This 497-nucleotide ribosomal RNA is filed under the name uncultured bacterium. Its description in RNAcentral is "partial 16S ribosomal RNA". It matches the Rfam family "Bacterial small subunit ribosomal RNA", at positions 28 to 507 of the family's 1533-position model. The record is from RNAcentral.
GAUGAACGCUGGCGGCGUGCCUAAUACAUGCAAGUCGAGCGAACAGACGAGGAGCUUGCUCCUCUGACGUUAGCGGCGGACGGGUGAGUAACACGUGGAUAACCUACCUAUAAGACUGGGAUAACUUCGGGAAACCGGAGCUAAUACCGGAUAAUAUAUUGAACCGCAUGGUUCAAUAGAGAAAGACGGUUUUGCUGUCACUUAUAGAUGGAUCCGCGCCGCAUUAGCUAGUUGGUAAGGUAACGGCUUACCAAGGCAACGAUGCGUAGCCGACCUGAGAGGGGGAGGGACACAAGGAAAAAGGAGACACGGUCAAGACUCACGGGGAGGGGAGAAGUAGGAAUUAGGCAGAAAGGGCAAAAAGUUGAAAGGAGAAACGCGGAGGGAGGGAAGAUGGUAUAGGAAUGAAAAAACUUUGUCAUGGGGGAAAAAAAAAUGUAAAAGUAAAUCCGGACGUCUGGAAGGGCCCUAAAAAAAGAACCACGGAAAAAUCCGUG